Molecule: long non-coding RNA, 485 nt
Filed under: Homo sapiens (human)
Lineage: Eukaryota; Metazoa; Chordata; Mammalia; Primates; Hominidae
Description: non-protein coding lnc-DAOA-11:4
Source: RNAcentral
ACACAAAUACUCAUCACUGUCUUAUAAUUACCUGCAAUAUUCAGUACAGUAACAUGCUGUACAGGUUUGUAGCCAUCCAAUCUGUCACACUCAACAUUUCCUAAUGCAAACUUACUCUCCUGUUCAACUCUCCAGCUUUGCUGUUUUCCUAGAGCACUGAGUGGCACAAGAUCCGCUAUUGUGAGUGACCUGCUACCUUUUGCCACUGCCCUGGCUCCUUUAGAACUUUUAGGAUAUUUUUAGGAUUUUUUGGAAUUUUAGGACUAGUUUUCAUUGUGGGUCAGCAGCAUAUAUCUUAGAACAUGAAGAGCCUUUAUAUAAAAAGAAUGGUGACAUUAGUAGAGUAUUCCUUCAGUUAUGAAUAAAUCUACUCCAUUGCAUAUUUCACCAUAGAGUUUUCAAUAUUAUGUAAAAUUUGAUACUUGUGACUCAUAAGGUUCAUAUAUCAUCUUGAUGACUUUAAUAAAUAUUGUAAUAAUCAUUUU